This is an RNA transcript of Physeter macrocephalus (sperm whale), 9023 nucleotides long. It is a transcript of the gene named ATP binding cassette subfamily A member 1, with no coding region annotated. The transcript has 51 exons. Lineage: Eukaryota; Metazoa; Chordata; Mammalia; Artiodactyla; Physeteridae. The record is from RefSeq and is a predicted model, not a curated record.
AGGGAGAGAACAGGCUUUGACCGAUAGUAACCCCUGCGCUCAGCGCAGCGGAAUCUAUAAAAGGAACUAGUCGCGGCAAAAUCCCGGUAAUUCUGAGGAAGAGUGAGUGCGGCCGGGGCCGGAGGAGCGGCGCCGACACCUCUCUCCCCGGGCGCAGGUGGGCAGAACAGGGGGCGCCGCGUGACCAGCGCCGCCACAGCCCAUUUCUCGGCGGCGCUUUGCUCCCUUUCCCCCACUUCUUUCCCAGAAGGGUUUUUCAAGGGGUGGGGGAAAGAGCCGGAAACAAAAAGUGGAAAACAGUUAAUGACCAGCCACAGCGUCCCCACUGUGAGCUCCGGCCACUUCCUCCACGGGCUCCCGAGCCUCACGCAGGCUCUGUGGUGUCGGCUGAGGUAACAUGGCUUGUUGGCCUCAGCUGAGGUUGCUGCUGUGGAAGAACCUCACUUUCAGAAGAAGACAAACAUGUCAGCUGUUGCUGGAAGUGGCCUGGCCUCUAUUUAUCUUCCUGAUCCUGAUCUCCGUGCGGCUGAGCUACCCACCCUAUGAACAACAUGAAUGCCACUUUCCAAACAAAGCCAUGCCCUCUGCAGGAACACUUCCUUGGGUUCAGGGGAUUAUCUGUAAUGCCAAUAACCCCUGUUUCCGUUAUUCGACUCCUGGUGAGGCUCCCGGGGUUGUUGGAAACUUUAACAAGUCCAUUGUGUCUCGCCUGUUCUCAGAUGCUCGGCGACUUCUUUUGUACAGCCACAGAGACACCAGCCUGAAGAACAUUCGCCAAGUUCUAAGGACAUUAUACCAGAUCGAGCGUUCCAGCUCAGCAGGCUUGAAGUUUCAGGACUUCCUGGUAGACAAUGAAACCUUCUCUGGAUUCCUGCAUCACAACCUCUCUCUGCCAAGGCCAACUGUGGACAAGAUUCUGGGGGCUGGUGUCAGUCUCCGCAAGGUAUUUUUGCAAGGCUACCAGUUACAUUUGAGCAAUCUGUGCAAUGGAUCAAAAUUAGGAGAGCUGAUUCAACUUGGUGACCAAGAAGUCUCCAUGCUUUGCAGCCUGCCAAAGGAGAAACUGGAUGCAGCGGAGCAAAUACUUCAUUCCAAUCUGGACAUUCUGAAGCCAAUCCUGACAGAACUAAACUCCACAUCUCCCUUCCCCAGCAAGGAGCUGGCUGAAGCCACAAAAACUUUGCUGGAUAGUCUUGGGAUUGUGGCUCAAGAGCUGUUCAGCAUGAGGAGCUGGAGUGACAUGCGGCAGGAGGUGAUGUUUCUGACCAACGUGAACAGCUCCAGCUCCUCCACCCAGAUCUACCAGGCCGUGUCCCGCAUCGUCUGUGGCCAUCCCGAGGGUGGGGGCCUGAAGAUCAAGUCCCUUAACUGGUAUGAGGACAACAACUACAAAGCCCUCUUUGGAGGCAACGGCACUGAGGACGAUGCUGGCACCUUCUAUGACAAUUCUACAACUCCUUAUUGCAAUGAUUUGAUGAAGAAUCUGGAGUCCAGUCCUCUUUCCCGCAUCAUAUGGAAAGCUCUCAAGCCCCUGCUUGUUGGGAAGAUCCUGUAUACACCUGACACUCCAGUCACAAGGCAGGUUAUGGCUGAGGUGAAUAAGACCUUCCAGGAACUGGCUGUGUUUCAUGAUCUGGAAGGCAUGUGGCAAGAGCUCAGCCCCAAGAUCUGGACCUUCAUGGAGAGCAGCCCAGAAGUGGACCUUGUCCGGACGCUAUUGGACAGCAGAGGCAAUGACCACUUCUGGGAACAACGAUUGGAAGGCUUAGAUUGGACAGCCAGAGAUAUCGUGGCAUUUCUGGCCAAGCACCCAGAGGAAGUGCAGUCCACUAAUGGCUCUGUGUACACCUGGAGAGAAGCCUUCAAUGAGACCAGCCAGGCAAUCCAGAGCAUCUCUCGCUUCAUGGAGUGUGUGAACCUGAACAAGCUGGAACCAGUGGCAACAGAGGUUCUGCUCAUCAACAAGUCCAUGGAGCUACUGGAUGAGCGGAAGUUCUGGGCUGGGAUCGUGUUCACUGGAAUUGCUCCUGGAAGUGUCGAGCUGCCCCAUCACGUCAAGUACAAGAUCCGGAUGGAUAUUGACAAUGUGGAGAGGACGAAUAAGAUCAAGGAUGGGUACUGGGACCCCGGUCCUCGGGCUGACCCAUUUGAGGAUAUGCGGUACGUCUGGGGGGGCUUCGCGUACUUGCAGGAUGUGGUGGAGCAGGCAAUCAUCAGGGUGCUGACGGGCACAGAGAAGAAAACUGGCAUCUACAUGCAGCAGAUGCCCUACCCCUGUUACGUUGAUGACAUCUUCCUGCGGGUCAUGAGCCGGUCAAUGCCCCUCUUCAUGACGUUGGCCUGGAUUUACUCUGUGGCUGUGAUCAUCAAGGGCAUCGUGUACGAGAAGGAGGCGCGGCUGAAGGAGACCAUGCGCAUCAUGGGCCUGGACAACAGCAUCCUCUGGUUCAGCUGGUUCAUCAGCAGCCUCAUCCCCCUGCUUGUGAGCGCCGGCCUGCUGGUGGUCAUCCUGAAGUUAGGAAACCUGCUGCCCUACAGCGACCCCAGUGUGGUGUUUGUCUUUCUGUCCGUGUUCGCUGUGGUGACCAUCCUGCAGUGCUUUCUGAUCAGCACGCUCUUCUCCAGAGCCAACCUGGCGGCAGCCUGUGGAGGCAUCAUUUACUUCAUGCUGUACCUGCCCUACGUCCUGUGUGUGGCGUGGCAAGACUACGUGGGCUUCACACUCAAGAUCUUUGCGAGCCUGCUGUCUCCUGUGGCUUUUGGGUUUGGCUGUGAGUACUUCGCCCUUUUUGAGGAGCAGGGCAUUGGGGUGCAAUGGGACAACCUUUUUGAGAGCCCCGUGGAGGAAGACGGCUUCAACCUCACCACCUCGGUCUCCAUGAUGCUGUUUGACACCUUCCUCUACGGGGUGAUGACAUGGUACACCGAGGCUGUGUUUCCAGGCCAAUAUGGAAUCCCCAGGCCCUGGUAUUUCCCUUGUACUAAGUCCUACUGGUUUGGCGAGGAAAGCAAUGAGAAGAGCCACCCUGGUUUCAGCCAGGAGGGAACAUCAGAAAUCUGCAUGGAGGAGGAACCCACCCACCUGAAGCUGGGCGUGUCCAUUCAGAACCUGAUGAAGGUUUACCGAGAUGGCAUGAAGGUGGCAGUUGAUGGCCUGGCCUUGAAUUUCUAUGAGGGCCAGAUCACCUCCUUCCUGGGCCACAAUGGAGCUGGGAAGACCACCACCAUGUCAAUCCUGACUGGGUUGUUCCCUCCCACCUCGGGCACUGCCUACAUCCUGGGGAAAGACAUUCGCUCUGAGAUGAGCACCAUCAGGCAGAACCUGGGGGUCUGUCCCCAGCAUAACGUGCUGUUUGACAUGCUGACUGUUGAAGAGCACAUCUGGUUUUACGCCCGCCUGAAAGGGCUCUCGGAGAAGCACGUGGAAGCAGAGAUGGAGCAGAUGGCCCUGGAUGUUGGUUUGCCGCCAAGCAAACUGAAAAGCAAAACAAGUCAGCUGUCAGGUGGAAUGCAGAGAAAGCUGUCUGUGGCCUUGGCCUUUGUCGGGGGAUCCAAGGUUGUCAUUCUGGAUGAGCCCACAGCCGGCGUGGACCCUUACUCCCGCAGGGGAAUAUGGGAGCUGCUGCUGAAAUAUCGACACGGCCGCACCAUUAUUCUCUCCACACACCACAUGGAUGAAGCGGACAUCCUGGGGGACAGGAUUGCCAUCAUUUCCCAUGGGAAGCUGUGCUGCGUGGGCUCCUCCCUGUUCCUGAAGAACCAGCUGGGGACAGGUUACUACCUGACCCUGGUCAAGAAGGACGUGGAGUCCUCCCUCAGCUCGUGCAGAAAUAGCAGUAGCACUGUGUCGUACCUGAAAAAGGUGGUGCCUGAGCUUCCCCCAGCUGGGCAGAGUGGAGGCAGAGGAGGAGAGGUGCAGAGGCUGGUGGCGCUGACUCAAGAUGUCUCUGCGAUCUCCAACCUCAUCAGGAAGCAUGUGGCCGAGGCCCGGCUGGUGGAAGACAUUGGGCAUGAGCUGACCUACGUGCUGCCCUAUGAAGCCGCCAAAGAGGGAGCCUUUGUGGAACUCUUCCAUGAGAUUGAUGACCGGCUCUCAGACCUGGGCAUCUCCAGUUAUGGAAUCUCAGAGACUACCCUGGAAGAAAUAUUUCUCAAAGUGGCUGAAGAGAGUGGGGUGGAUGCUGAGACCUCAGAUGGCACGCUACCGGCAAGACGAAACAGACGGGUCUUCGGGGACAAGCAGAGCUGUCUUCGCCCAUUUACUGAAGAUGAUGCCGUUGAUCCAAAUGAUUCCGACAUAGAUCCAGAAUCCAGAGAAACAGACCUGCUCAGCGGAAUGGACGGCAAAGGCUCCUACCAGGUGAAGGGCUGGAAACUCACACAGCAGCAGUUUGGGGCCCUUUUGUGGAAGAGGCUGCUGAUUGCCAGACGGAGUCGGAAGGGAUUCUUUGCUCAGAUUGUCCUGCCUGCUGUGUUUGUCUGCAUUGCCCUGGUGUUCAGCUUGAUCGUGCCACCCUUUGGCAAGUACCCCAGCCUGGAACUUCAGCCCUGGAUGUACAACGAACAGUACACAUUCGUCAGUAAUGAUGCUCCUGAGGACGUGAGCACCCAGGAACUCUUGAGUGCUCUCACUGGAAAGCCUGGCUUCGGGACCCGAUGUAUGGAAGGAAACCCAAUCCCAGACAUGCCCUGCUCGGUGGGGGAGGAGGAGUGGACCACCACCCCAGUCCCCCAGACCAUCACAGACCUCUUCAGAAAUGGGAACUGGACGAUGGAGAACCCCUCCCCCACCUGCCAGUGUAGCAGCGACAAAAUCAAGAAGAUGCUGCCCGUGUGUCCCCUGGGGGCUGGGGGGCUGCCUCCUCCACAAAGAAAACAGAACACUGCGGACAUCCUUCAGAACCUGACGGGAAGAAACAUUUCGGAUUAUCUGGUGAAGACAUAUGUGCAGAUCAUAGCCAAAAGCUUAAAGAACAAGAUUUGGGUGAAUGAGUUUAGGUACGGUGGAUUUUCCCUGGGGGCCAGUAAUUCUCAUUCACUUCCUCCGAGUAAAGAAGUUAAUGAUGCCAUCAAGCAAAUGAAGAAACACUUGAAGGUGGCCAAGGACAGUUCUGCAGAUCGAUUUCUCAGCAGCUUGGGAAGGUUCAUGACAGGACUGGACACGAAAAAUAACGUCAAGGUGUGGUUCAACAACAAGGGCUGGCACGCCAUCAGCUCUUUCUUGAAUGUCAUCAACAAUGCCAUUCUCCGGGCCAACCUGCAGAAGGGAGAGAACCCUAGCCAGUAUGGGAUUACUGCCUUCAAUCACCCCCUGAACCUCACCAAGCAGCAGCUCUCGGAAGUGGCUCUGAUGACCACAUCAGUGGACGUCCUCGUGUCCAUCUGUGUCAUCUUUGCGAUGUCCUUCGUCCCAGCCAGCUUUGUCGUGUUCCUGAUCCAGGAGCGGGUCAGCAAAGCAAAGCACCUGCAGUUCAUCAGCGGAGUGAAGCCUGUCAUCUACUGGCUCUCCAAUUUUGUCUGGGACAUGUGCAACUAUGUGGUUCCUGCGACGCUGGUCAUUCUCAUCUUCAUCUGCUUCCAGCAGAAGUCCUAUGUGUCCUCCACCAACCUGCCUGUGCUAGCCCUUCUACUGUUGCUGUACGGGUGGUCCAUCACACCUCUCAUGUACCCAGCCUCCUUCGUGUUCAAGAUCCCCAGCACAGCCUACGUGGUCCUCACCAGUGUGAACCUCUUCAUCGGCAUCAAUGGUAGCGUGGCCACUUUUGUGCUGGAGCUCUUCACCAACAAUAAGCUGAAUAACAUCAAUGAUAUCCUGAAGUCGGUGUUCUUGAUCUUCCCACAUUUUUGCCUGGGACGGGGGCUCAUUGACAUGGUGAAAAACCAGGCAAUGGCUGAUGCCUUGGAAAGGUUUGGGGAGAAUCGCUUUGUCUCGCCACUGUCUUGGGACUUGGUGGGACGAAACCUCUUCGCCAUGGCUGUGGAAGGGGUGGUGUUCUUCCUCAUCACUGUGUUGAUCCAGUACCGAUUCUUCAUCAGGCCCAGACCUGUAAAGGCAAAGCUUUCUCCUCUGAAUGAUGAGGAUGAAGAUGUGAGGAGGGAGAGACAGAGAAUUCUUGAUGGUGGAGGACAGAAUGACAUCUUGGAAGUCAAGGAGCUGACUAAGGUAUAUAGAAGGAAGAGGAAACCUGCCGUCGACAGGAUUUGCGUUGGCAUUCCUCCUGGUGAGUGCUUUGGACUUCUAGGUGUCAAUGGGGCUGGGAAAUCAUCAACUUUCAAGAUGUUAACGGGAGAUACCACUGUUACCAGAGGAGAUGCUUUUCUUAACAAAAAUAGUAUCUUAUCAAACAUCCACGAAGUACAUCAGAACAUGGGCUAUUGCCCUCAGUUUGAUGCCAUCACAGAGCUGCUGACCGGAAGAGAACACGUGGAGUUCUUUGCGCUCUUGAGGGGCGUCCCGGAGAGAGAAGUCGGCAAGGUUGGUGAGUGGGCAAUUCGGAAACUGGGCCUCGUGAAGUAUGGAGAAAAAUAUGCUGGGGACUAUAGCGGAGGCAACAAGCGCAAGCUCUCGACGGCCAUGGCUUUGAUUGGCGGGCCUCCUGUGGUGUUUCUGGAUGAACCGACCACAGGCAUGGACCCCAAAGCCCGACGAUUCUUGUGGAAUUGUGCCUUAAGUAUCAUCAAGGAAGGGAGAUCAGUAGUGCUUACAUCUCAUAGUAUGGAAGAAUGUGAAGCUCUUUGCACUAGGAUGGCAAUUAUGGUCAAUGGGCGGUUCAGGUGUCUUGGCAGUGUCCAACAUCUGAAAAAUAGGUUUGGAGAUGGUUAUACAAUAGUCGUACGAAUAGCAGGGUCCAGCCCUGACCUGAAGCCUGUCCAGGAGUUCUUUGAACUCUCCUUCCCAGGAAGCGUGCUGAAGGAGAAGCACCGGAACAUGCUGCAGUACCAGCUUCCCUCUUCACUGUCUUCCCUGGCCAGGAUUUUCAGCAUCCUUUCCCAGAGCAAAAAGCGACUCCACAUAGAAGACUACUCUGUCUCUCAGACAACACUUGACCAAGUAUUUGUAAACUUUGCCAAGGACCAAAGUGAUGAUGACCACUUAAAGGACCUGUCAUUACACAAAAACCAGACAGUAGUGGAUGUUGCAGUUCUCACAUCUUUUCUGCAGGAUGAGAAAGUGAAAGAAAGUUAUGUAUGAAGAAUCCUGUUCAUACAGGGUGGCUAGAAGAAAGGAGGAACUAGACCUUCCUUUGCACUAUGUGAAGUGUUCCAGAGGAAAGAGCUGGAAGAUUUUGUGGGAAGAGAUACUCUUCUAGGUUCUGGGGAUACAGUGUUGAAGAAGGCCGAAUUCCUGCUCUAAUGAACUUGAAUUUCAAUGGAGAAGUUAUAUUCAUAUUCACAACAGAUGUGUGGGUAAAGAAAUAUAAUAAAUUCAGACAGCACUAAGUGCUAAGAAGAAAAUACAACACAGUAACAAUAACCACGGAGAGGUGUCAGGCCUCUGCGGAGUGACAUAAUGAGCUCAGAUGUGAAUAAAAUGAACAGGAGCCAACAUUUGAAGGCGGGUAGGAAGAAUGUUCCUGGAAGAAAGAACACUCGGUGCAAAAGCCCCAAGUGGGAAAAAUCUUGGCAAGUUGGGGAGCAAGGAGAGAAUUCCAGUGUCUCUGGAGUUGUAGGGAACGGAAUCAGAGAUGGCAGGAACCAGAACUUGCGGAGCCUUGUAGUCCAGUGUAAGGUACCUGGAUUUUAUUGUUCGUGCAAUGAGGAGCUACUGGAGAGUUUUAAACAAGGAAGUGGCUUGAUCUGUGUUUCAGAAAGAACUUUGCUGGUUAUAUGGGGAGAAAGGACAGUAGGGGGGCUAAGUAGGAGAGGAUGGUAGAUUGGGCCAGGAUGGUAGCAACAGACGUAGGAAGGAAUUAUAACGCUGAGGAUCUAUUUUAGAGAUACAGCCAACAGGACCUGCUGAUGGGCUGCAAAGGGGAUGAGGGAAAGAGAGAUAUCAAGGUGACUUCUAAUUUGUGACCCAAACUAGGUAGAUGGUUGUGUUCAAAAGGCAGUUAGUAUUUCAGUCUGCAGCUCGGAGGCAAGGAUGGGAAAAAAGAUAAAAAUGCGUGCAUCAUCGGCACACGUAUGGUACUUAAGCCUUUGGACUGAAUGAGCUUACCUAAAGAGAGGGAAGAGAGAGAGUAUUCUUGAGGCCUGAGACGCUACCCACAUUUAGAAGACACGCCAGCAAAGAAAAAAAGGACUCUCCAGUGGGGAGGAGGGAAAUCUAAGAGUAAGAUGCCAUGUAUUAAAGCUCAGAAUCAAGUGUAUUUGGGAAGGUAAGAAGUGGUCGAUUGUGUCCAACAUGGCUGAGAAGAUGAGCAAGGUAAAGGCAGCGGAAGACCAUUGAUUUUGGUAACAAAGAGAUCCUUGGUGACCUUCAGAAGAAUCAUUUCAGCAGACUGACAAAGCUGCAGGCCUAUCUGGAUUGGUUUCAGGGAAGAAUAAGAGGUAAGGUGGUGAGUAUACACAACUCUACAGAGAGUUUUGCUUUGAAGGGAAACAGAAAACAACAAUAGCUGGAUUACAAAACUUCUAUUUGGAUUCUUUUCUUGCCUGUUAAUAGUAUAGGCUGCACCUGAGCACCAUCUCACCUUUCCCUUCUGACUUUUUGUUUGUUUGGUUUUUAAUCCUUAGACAUUUCUUCUAUCAGGAGCCUAACACACUGUGUACCUUGUUUUCCGAAUUCCCUUUAGACAACUAAUUCAUAAUUUACUAUAUGUUUUAGAAAUGUAAAAUAAUAUAACUAUAAAUAUAGACUACAGUAUGUUUUAGAAACGUAAAAUAAUACAGCUAUAAAUUUACAAUAUGUCUUAGAAACAUAAUAUAGACUAUCAAAAGAGCUUGGAAAUACCAAACCUAGUUUUAGAAAGCAGAGGUAUACAACUAAAAUGGAAAUUAAAGGUGUUUCCAGGAAAACCCUAGCGUAUCUGUGGUGGUACUGAAAAAACCUUCCUUCUGGGAUUACUAUAAUGCUAUUUUCU